CAAUACUCUCAAUUAUAUGUUGUAGUAGUUUUUCCGGCUAUCAUCUCCAAGUAAUGAUAAUUGGUUUCUUUUGUGGAGUGAGAAAAUAGUGAAAAAGUUCCCUGCAAAGCUCAAAGUCAGCCAGGCCUUAGUGGGACAGACCAAGGACAAACUGGAAACACAUUGGUCUCUCAUGGCCUCCAAUCUUGAUGAUGCAGGUGACCUGAUGGAUAAGAUGACUCUGCACCCUGGAGCUGAACCACACCUGGCUAGAUGCAGAGACGCUGAAGGAGAAGAUCUGGAGGGAUGUGGCGGAGCUGCAGGCCUGGCUGCUGUCCUUUGCCGAGAUCAAUGACAAUGUGUGUGAGCCGCAACUGCACAUGAAUGAUACCCACCUUCUGGGAGUUAAAAAUGUCACCUUCCCGAUCUCAGAUAAAUUUCUCGUGUAGCAACCUUAAUUUGGGGACACGUAGUUUCAAAUUAGUGAAAUUGACACAAUGAAAAAGCAUCCACUCUUUAUAGAUUUCUGUGACUUUUUUCUCUCAAUAUUUACUUUGUAAGCUGUUUUGUGUAGCUGUAUAUCCUUAACUUUCAUUCGUAUAUAAUAAUUCAUUAUGGGAAAAAUCCAAAAUUUAUUUAUCCAUUCUCUCAUUUAUGGACGUUUCACUUGUUUCAAGUUAUAAUUGUUAUCACAAAGAGUGCUGCUGUAGACAUUCUUGUCUGUUUCUCCUGAUGUAAUUAUAAAGGCAUUUCUCCAUGGUUUAGAAAUAGGAGAAUGUAGGAUAUAUAAAUUUUCAGCUUUAUAAAAUAAUUCCAAAUUGUUUGUCAGGGUGGUUUUACCAAAUUUGUACUCCUGUCCGUGCUAUAUAGAGUUUUACUUGAAGCACGUGCUUGCCAACACUUGGCAUUCUCUUACUUGUUAAUAUUUUCUAGUCUGAUGAGAGUAGAAUGAUAGAUCUUUGUGAUAUUUAUUUGCAUUUUUCUGAUUGUUAAUGAGAUUGAAUAUCUUUUCAUAUGUUUAUUCUCCAUUUCUUUUUUAUCUUCUGGAAAUUCCUGUUCAUUUAGUUUCACCCAUUUUUUUCUAAUAUGUUUUCUUUUCCUU
This is a long non-coding RNA of Diceros bicornis minor, 1081 nucleotides long. RefSeq lists it as uncharacterized. Lineage: Eukaryota; Metazoa; Chordata; Mammalia; Perissodactyla; Rhinocerotidae. The record is from RefSeq and is a predicted model, not a curated record. The transcript has 3 exons.